GCAUUGAAACAAGGGUGUGUCUUGAGCUACUUACGUUUUGGAAAUACAAUACUGGCAGGAUACUAUAGGAGACUGCAGUGGGAGAAAAAUUGUCCGCAGGACCAAGAAUAAGACCGAGUCCUGCAAACGUAGAAGGUCUCAAGAAAACCACUUCAUCAAUACUCACACAGGAGCAGAUCCUAUCGUCUACAGCCACAGCUUCCCAGCAUUGGUGGAAAAGGUCAGCUUGCAAUCAGUCAGCCCGUGCAUACUGGAAAAUUGGAAUAAAAAACAACUAAGAUUCAGGAGAGGGUCAUGGAGGAAAGAAAAUGAGCACCAUGGAACAGUUGCCUGAGAAGACAGGCUCAGGUCAUAAAGACACCUGCCACAUACAGGUGUUUGAGUGUUAAAUACAAUACCUGCAAAGUUCUUAGAAGAGCACCUGACACACAGGAAGUCCUCAAUAAAAGGUAACUAUUGUUAUUGUUUUUAUUAAAUCAAUUGCAAAAACCAUGCCUUCCUUUUGUGUAAAUAUAAAAACAACAGCAUAAAGUAGAUGUGCUAAAGCCAAGUGAGUAGAUUUUUGUUUAAAAAGCACUCUAGUGGAGUUAGGAGAACGGUAUGAUGAAGGGCAGCCAGCAACUGAAAGCAUUUCCUGCAAGAAAAGGGACUUUACAACAAUUAGCCUUUCGGUAAGUUGAUGCUUAUAAUUUGUGAAGGUCUUUCACAACCAUUAUUUCAUUUGUGCUUUGUAAAAUCUAAAGAGGUUGAAAGAAGAGGAGAGACAGCAGAGGAUGGGGCUGAAAAUGUAUAAUCUUUGGAGGUGACAGCUCUGGCUUGAAGUCCUAACAGACAUUUAUUACCUGUGUGUGAUCUUAAUCAAGUUACAUAACCUGCCUGAGCUUCCAUUUUCUACAGCCAUAAAGUGGAGAGAAAAUGAGAUAUUGUAUGUAAAGCUCUUAGCACAAUGUCUGGAACGUGGUCAGUGAGCAAUAAAUGUAACUAUUAUUGUUGUGAAUAAACCAAGCCUCUGAGUUUGCACACAGCAAGGAGCUGAGCUGUGCUUUGAGCCUCGCCUGGUUUUCUAAGCCCAGACCCAUUGAUUUACUUGAUUAAGUUCUCACAAAUCUCAGAGAGUUAACAUUUUAUCACAAUCCAUACUCGAAUUUCUUUAAACCCUAUUAAUUUACCCAUAAAACCUUGCUUUCCAUUGUCAAGAAUAAGCACUUUGAAACUUGGCUAACCAGCUAUGUUGAUAAAAUAGCACGCCAGUAGAUGCCAUUGUGCUUGAAUUAUUUAUCUGGAAACGACUUCUGGCUACAGCACGAGUUGAUUCCUUAGGUGCUUAGUUUGGAUCACGUAGUUAAACUUACCAAGCAGCUGUUGGUGCUGAAGGCUGUGAAUGUAGCGGGUCUGCAGGGCCUCCCACUGGGGCCUGGAGUUGUAAAUCCUCAUAAUGCUGUAAAAGUAGCGCUGUUGCCCUUGGUUGAGGGCCUGUUGGAACAGAACAGGUGAUUUUGAUGAGUGUGUGGAGUUCCACAGCAUUCAAAUUGUGAUACUCAAAGCAAACUUUUAUGGAAAUAAGAGGCUUUUCUUGCUAACCAUAUGUUUUUUUUUUUUAAUGUGCAACAAUUGGAAAAUAACAACUGGGGAGUUUCCUCUCUUCAUUUGCUUAAACAGUCUUCUGCUAAUCUGUAUGAUGAUGAAAAUAUGUGAGUAAAAAAUUCUAGGUAAUUGUCUUGAACUGAGGGACAUCUAAGGAUUUCCAGGAUCUUAUAAUUUCUUUGAUCCUUAUUGAGGAAAGUAGGUUGUAAUAAGCUACACAGAGCUGAAGUAUGCCAGGCCUCUGGACUGGUAGAAAAUUUUCCACUGUAAGUUCUCAGUAAGCAAGGGAGAUAGAUGGAUGAGUAAUGUGGUAAGGGUUCAUUAUAUCAUUAGUAAAAAGGUGCCAUGAAAACAAACAAUGUAAACAAGCAGUCAGGGAAGGUUUUCUAAAUGAGAUGAUCAUCUUAUCUGAGUCUUAGAUGAGGAGUUUCCUUAAGGGACUAGAAUACUGGUUCUCAAACGGCAUACACAACAUCUGGAAACCUGCUAGAAAUUCUAACAUUUUUUCUUUUUAGUUCAAAGGGAAGAGAGUCUGAUUGUGAAAAGACUGUUAGGGGAAGAUGAUGGAAACCUUUUAACUAUGUUGAGUUUAAGGAUUAAAUAUUCUAUGAGGAGCCACCAAAGGUCUUUAUUUAAGGCAGUGGCUCUCAACAGGGAUGAUUUUGACCCCAGGGGACAUUUGGCAAUGCCUGCAAAAUUUUUUUAUUGUCCUAAUUGGUGGGAGGAGGAGGGGGUGCUCCUGGCAUUCAGUGAGUAGAGGCCUGGGAUGUGCUUAGCAUCCUGUAAUGCACAGGACAGCUUCCCACGCCUUUCCAGCAAAUGAUCCAACCUGAAACACCAUACUCUUAACUG
This 2436-nucleotide long non-coding RNA is filed under the name Homo sapiens (human). RNAcentral's name for it is "HSALNT0200657". The record is from RNAcentral. Lineage: Eukaryota; Metazoa; Chordata; Mammalia; Primates; Hominidae.